AUACAUUAGCUUGGGGUUGGAAGAAGAUUAGGACAUCCACUCUCUUCCACCGAAAAGCCGACGAGGUCGAAACAGAAGAAGGAAGGCAAAGAUCCAAUUCCACAAGCCAAAAAGUCAAGUCCGGAAAAGUCGACGGAGUAGAAAAUGAGGAAGGAAGGCAAAGAUCCAAUUCUACAAGCCAAAAACUCAACUCGAGAAGAAGAAUGUCUGUAUAAUAGAAAUUGGAAGCAACAUAUCAAACUAGCAGAAAAUGCAGAAUGAUUGAACGACCAGAUUCUUUAUAGUUAGUUAUUGUAUGAUGUCUAAUGGCUAUAUCUUCUUUUUCAGGUGAAUAAUAUGACCAGUAAGAAUCCUUGCAGGUAUGAAUAUGUUCAAUGUUAAGCAGUAAUCAACUCAUGCUGAUAGUUUAGUUUUGUACAAGUGAUGUAUACUAGGUUUAUGGUGACUGGGGGAUGCUACACAGUUCUAAAUCUGAGUUGGUACGAUGCUACUCAUCCGUAAAUGAAACAACAAUUAGCUGUAUAAUGAGAAAGAACCCAACUUCAACAGGAGGUGAAAUGCAGAAACAAACACCAGCAACAGCUCAAGCUAAUCUAGUAGACCAAUUGAAAUUCAAAUUUGUCUUCUUCACAGUAACCAAGUACCAUGGAGAUGAACAUUCAACAAUGAACACCUAAGUUUAUAGGGCGUCAAAUAGUAACUCUCCUAUCAAGAAGUACGGAAAACCAUGAACAGGAAGGAAAUAUCAGCAAACUACAGGUUGCAGCAAAACGAUUUUCCCUCCCCAUCAAUUGAUUCAAUCAAUAAACUUCAAGUUACAACAAAACAAAGCAGCAGCAAAACCAACAUAAUUCAAUACUAAAACGAAGAGAGAGAGGAGAAGAAAGAAAAAACUAACCUUCCAUCCAACCAACGUCAAUGGAGAUGGCAACUAACCUUCAAGGCGCCGACUUUCUCCUUCAAGGCGUUGACUUCUUCUCUCAUUUUCGACAUUUGUGACUGGGAUUCGUUAUUAUUGAGAAAAAUGCGGC
Molecule: long non-coding RNA, 1031 nt
Filed under: Linum usitatissimum (flax)
Lineage: Eukaryota; Viridiplantae; Streptophyta; Magnoliopsida; Malpighiales; Linaceae
Description: long non-coding RNA (LUSI_LNC004625)
Source: RNAcentral